GAACCCAGUCAGGUCCAUUUCUAGGUUGUGGAAGCAUUGUUCUUUUGCUCUUCACAAUAAAUUUUGCUGCUCCUCACUGUUUGGGUCCAUGUGACCUUUAAAGCUUUCUUUAACAUUUAAGGUCCGUGGCUUCAUUCUUGAAGUUAGCGAGAUGGAGACCACAAGCCCACUGAAAGGAACCAACUGCAGACACAAUGCAUGUGAGAAAGACUCAGCCCUAUUUUCUGGCUUUGAAGCUGGAGGAAGGAGCCAGGAGCAAAAGAAUGAAGACAGUUUCCAGAAGCUGCAAAAGGGCAGGGACAGAUUCACUCCAGGAAGCCCCAGAAACAAACACAGUCCUGCUGACACCUUGAUUUCAAUCCAGUGAGACAUAUUUUGGACUUCUGACCUACAGAGCUAAAAUAAUAGUAAGAUAAUAAAGUUAUGUUGCCACCACUGAAAACAGUUUUAUUUUGCUUUGGUUUAAGCUAACUGAGCUAAUACAGCUGCCGUAUUUUAUGACACUUGCCUAAGGAAGACUUCCCAUCCCUGCACUGCUCCCGGCUAACCAGUCCUUUCUCGGGACUCCUGGAAACCUCCCACUCUCAGAGAGGUGUAGGGUAUAAAAAUCACAAGCUGAUGGCUCAGGAUGUAGCAAAUAAAAAUACAAGACCAAAACGAAACCCAACCGGAACACCGAGUUAAACGUGAAUUGACCAUGCGAUAUUUGGGACAUACUUAACACUAAAAAUUACUGGUUGUGUAUCUGAAAUUUACCUUUAACUGGGCUCAUGUAUUUUACCGGGCAACCCUACCCCCCGGUCACAGUGAGACUACACACGGGGUCUUUUGGUCAUUUUGCAAGUGUAAAAGAC
RNAcentral lists this long non-coding RNA (854 nucleotides) under Homo sapiens (human). RNAcentral's name for it is "HSALNT0314517". Lineage: Eukaryota; Metazoa; Chordata; Mammalia; Primates; Hominidae. The record is from RNAcentral.